UUGUCCUACGGGGCACAGCAGUAGGGAAUCUUCCACAAUGGGCGAAAGCCUGAUGGAGCAACGCCGCGUGGGUGAAGAAGGUCUUCGGAUCGUAAAACCCUGUUGUUAGAGAAGAAAGUGCGUGAGAGUAACUGUUCACGUUUCGACGGUAUCUAACCAGAAAGCCACGGCUAACUACGUGCCAGCAGCCGCGGUAAUACGUAGGUGGCAAGCGUUAUCCGGAUUUAUUGGGCGUAUAGGGAACGCAGGCGGUCUUCUAAGUCU
Molecule: ribosomal RNA, 264 nt
Filed under: uncultured bacterium
Lineage: Bacteria
Description: partial 16S ribosomal RNA
Rfam family: Bacterial small subunit ribosomal RNA
Source: RNAcentral